AUGGAGCACACAUGCUCAGUAUGCCAGGGGCUGACCCUUGCCUGGGCAUGCCUCCUGUCACUAGGGUCACACAAGGUCUGCCCCUUUAAAAAGGGGCAGUGAAGACAGACCCAGUGGGAACACCAUUUCUAUCUGAACCAGACCAACUCCACGUCAGGUUGCCUGUCCACCCCAGAGACUCUGCUGGCACCCCAUUCUGGACAACACCGAGCUGAAGGAGACCCUGACUGGCCGUCAAGGAGCAGCUUUCAGCCUGGGAUAGGCAUGGCAAGACAGUGAGGUGAGAGGUUACCCCAGAGACAGGUGGGCAGCUGGUGGAGACCCAGUGAAGAUGCCACCCUGUUAAACUGAGAUUGGGAGCUUUCAGAAUCAGUCACUGGAAUACAGGUGCAGAUCAUAAGCAGAAGUAAAUCAUCAAUUUCAAAUGACACCUGAACGAGAGAUGGCCUUUCACUUUUGCAUGCCGGGAUGUAAAUAUUAUUUUGUAUACUCAAGUUUUGUAACUGAGGAAAAUAUUAAAUGUGGCCAUUCUAAUACAUUGCAGUUAAAAUACAGCACCUGACAAUAAAAGCAAUAAAACAUUUAAUAGAAUCCCUAUGUCCAUAGGAAAGAAAUUAACAGCUGUAUUUCUGGACUGCUGAGAAUAAAAGACAAAUAUCAAACGGAUGUUAUUUCAGUAGAACAGGUAUGAAGAUAUGUAAUCAGCAGAUAUAUGGAAGGUUGUAUACUGAUACUGUUAAAAAAAAUAAUAAGUGUAAGAAACCUGAGCAUGAUUAUACAAAUAACACAUCUAACAAUAGAUGUCAUUGCCUCAGUCAGAGGCUCAGCCAAUCUUCUCUCAUACUUUUCUUGUUCUUUUUUUAAUAAUGACAAAGAAUUCCCAUGCUUCCUCAAUUCAUCCCCCAGUCCUUUCUCCUUAAUAUAAUUCCUUAAAUCCAGCCAAGCUGGAUUUUUCCGGACAGGGAUAGAAUUUAAGAACUAUGUUACCAAGGACAUUUCUGAAAAGGAAUUUGAAAGGGAGCCCUGGACCUGUGCUGGGAUGCAUCUGCUGAGAGAAUGCAGCAUGGCACUGCCUGUGAACACAGCUAUAUCACUUCUGGGUUGGGAGAGAAACAAAAGUAAUAUAGCAAAUUCAUGGAAGGUUUCAUGUGAGACAACUAAUUAGCUCUACUCCUCAGCACGAAUUCAGAGACAGAAAUAGUAGUUAAAUUCAUAUGAUGUCUGCAGUACCACACUAUGGCACCUAUAGUAAGUAACUAGAAGCUGUGUAGGCUAUUUCCAGUUCUAGGUAUCUGGAAUAAUUUUGGACUGAGUCCCUGUUUUUGUUGCCUAAAAUUGGUUCUUUUACUCCUCUCUCUCUAUAUUAAUUCACAAGUUCCAGGAUCAUUCACAAGUGUUCCUUUCUGUUGCUGGGUGACUA
Long non-coding RNA from Alligator mississippiensis (American alligator), 1420 nucleotides. RefSeq lists it as uncharacterized. The record is from RefSeq and is a predicted model, not a curated record. Lineage: Eukaryota; Metazoa; Chordata; Crocodylia; Alligatoridae. The transcript is spliced from 3 exons.